This 1508-nucleotide long non-coding RNA is filed under the name Phoenix dactylifera (date palm). RNAcentral's name for it is "long non-coding RNA (PDAC_LNC008498)". The record is from RNAcentral. Lineage: Eukaryota; Viridiplantae; Streptophyta; Magnoliopsida; Arecales; Arecaceae.
ACGAACUAAAUCCAAACUUCCUCGUCCGCGAACAGAUCGCCCGACCAAGGAACAAAGCCCGUUCCCAAGCCUCCCCUGCAUCCUCAUCCCGUUCAUCAUCCUUAUCCCUUAUCCAGCCGCCCCAAGCAUCAACCCAUUCUUUCGGAUUACUUCGCACCUUUUAUCCACGGAAGAGUUCAUCUUCUCCGAAAAUCAGGCAUCCGUCCCCAGUCAUCCGUGUUUGUUCCCAACGGCAUCAUCACUUUCUUCUUGUUCUGGACUCUUUCCAUUCACAAACAAAAUCCCAAAAUCCCCUGUUCCGCGUGAGAACCAGCAACCGCUAGUUCCCAAGUGGAUCCUCUUCUUUCUCCCGUUCGGAACCAAGACCCAGCUGAAUCCAAACUUCCUCCCAAACCAACCAAUCUUUAUCCCAACUAGAUUCCCAAGCUUCACGGAUUAGAACCGGAUCCUAGCUUCUUCCGCAUCCCGUGCCAUAUCCAGCCUCACGUCAUGUUGAUCCGGUCUUCAUCUCGCUCGUCAAGCAUCCCAACGUCCAAAUGCAUCCUCCCCUGCUUCAAAACUAUCAUCCUUAUCUUCUCAUCUCCUCCCGAGUAUCCCGUUCGUGAGUUCCUCCCAGAACAGCCGUGAUCCAAUCCCUUCUGUGUUCGGAUCAAGCAAUCAGUUCUUCUCCCCUAUUCCACGUCACCUUCCAGCUAACCUCGGGUGAUUUCCGUAUCUAAACUUCAUCUCCCCAUCGUAUCUCCAUCCCGUUUGCAUCCCAUUCAUAGUUCGGCAUCCAAAGCUCCUUCCAAAACAGAGUCCCAUGAUCCACGGGAUGAACCCAAAUUCCAUCUUCCGGCUUAAUCCCAGGGAGUCAUCCUCAUCCUGUGAGCAUCCCAAGCCCCCAGCCAUCACGAUUCAUCUUCCAUCCCCUGUUUCGGGAUUAAUUCCAUCCAAAUCCGGCCGUUCCCUCCUCCCACAACAUCCCAGCCAACUCCACAAACUGAACAAAGCUAGCAACCAAUCCCGUUCGCAAAUCAAGCAUCCUAUUCCGUGUCUUCAUCUCCAAAGCUUCAACGAAUCACAUCCUCAUGCAUCCCAGAUCCCAUCUUCUCCGGAUUAUUUUCAUUAGCAAGAUCUCCUCCCAGCCAUUCCAAGCUCCCGAGUUCAUCCUUAUCCACGGAUUCUUCCCAGCGUACCAGCCGCAUCCUUAUCCCACCGCAUCUUCAUCCUUAUCUGCACUCGAAACAGGGGAGAGGAGAAGGCUGGUGGAGGCUAUAAAAGGGGAGGAGACGGACCCCAUGAACCCAGCUCUCACAGGCCAAGUUCCCACGGGAAACAAAGGAGGGAGAGAAGUUUGGGACUUUUUGGGAAUGCCUUCUUAAAAGAAAAAAAUAAUGAAUGGCUAGAGAAGGAAGGAGAGAUCAAGGGAAGGGAGGAAGAAAAGAAGAAAUAGGAGCCCGCUGCUGUGCCACUGCUGCUGUCGCCCAUGAUUCCAUGGAAGGCUGAUCUUCUUUCUAGGGCCAGNN